AGAGUUUGAUCAUGGCUCAGGAUGAACGCUAGCUACAGGCUUAACACAUGCAAGUCGAGGGGCAGCAUUGGGUAGCAAUACUCAGAUGGCGACCGGCGCACGGGUGAGUAACACGUAUCCAACCUGCCGCUUACUCGGGGAUAGCCUUUCGAAAGAAAGAUUAAUACCCGAUGGUAUAAAGAGUUCGCAUGUUCUCUUUAUUAAAGAAUUUCGGUAAGCGAUGGGGAUGCGUUCCAUUAGAUAGUUGGCGGGGUAACGGCCCACCAAGUCUACGAUGGAUAGGGGUUCUGAGAGGAAGGUCCCCCACAUUGGAACUGAGACACGGUCCAAACUCCUACGGGAGGCAGCAGUGAGGAAUAUUGGUCAAUGGACGAGAGUCUGAACCAGCCAAAGUAGCGUGAAGGAUGACUGCCCUAUGGGUUGUAAACUUCUUUUAUAAGGGAAUAAAGUGAGGGACGUGUCCCUUUUUGUAUGUACCUUAUGAAUAAGGAUCGGCUAACUCCGUGCCAGCCGCCGC
Molecule: ribosomal RNA, 517 nt
Filed under: uncultured bacterium
Lineage: Bacteria
Description: bacterial SSU rRNA
Rfam family: Bacterial small subunit ribosomal RNA
Source: RNAcentral